AAUGUCAAGAUCACACAAGAUGUUGUGCAGAAGCCACUAAAGGCAGUCAGGAAAGGGAGUAUACUGCGCAGCUGAAGGCAAGGAAUAAAACAUACAAGUGGAGGCUCUCCAGAGACACAGUGCAGCUACAGUACAGUUAAAGAAUAAAGACAAAUGUCGUCCCUUGAAGUACAGCUUCACAAUCAGAGAGUACUUGACAGUUUGGAACCAGGUGACCUGGUGGAGUUUCCGCGAGGAGUGUACAAUCACUGGGCUAUGGACAUUGGUAAUGAAGAAGUCGUGCAUCGGACUGGAGUCCAUGGUCCAAUGAGGAGUGGACCGGAACACGCAUCAUCAGUAACUGGAAAAGUGUAUGAUAAAGGAACUGUUCGCAAAGAUAAGUUUUGGGACGUUGUUGGAGACAGCAAGGCGUACAAGAACAACUCAAAUGACGAGACAUUUC
Long non-coding RNA from Haliotis rubra (blacklip abalone), 442 nucleotides. RefSeq lists it as uncharacterized. The transcript is spliced from 3 exons. The record is from RefSeq and is a predicted model, not a curated record. NCBI's taxonomy places the organism in Eukaryota, Metazoa, Mollusca, Gastropoda, Lepetellida, Haliotidae.